Molecule: ribosomal RNA, 770 nt
Filed under: uncultured delta proteobacterium
Lineage: Bacteria; Deltaproteobacteria
Description: bacterial SSU rRNA
Rfam family: Bacterial small subunit ribosomal RNA
Source: RNAcentral
GAGUUUGAUCCUGGCUCAGGGACAAACGCUGGUGGUGUGCCUAAUACAUGCAAGUCGAACGAGAAAGUCCCUUCGGGGGCGAGUAAAGUGGCGAACGGGUGAGUAACGCGUAGAUAACAUACCUUCAGGUGGGGGAUAGCCAGUCGAAAGAUUGGAUAAUACCGCAUAUGACCACAGUAUCUGUGGAUACAGGGGUAAAAGAUUUAUCGCCUAAAGAUUGGUCUGCGUCCGAUUAGCUUGUUGGUGGGGUAAAAGCCUACCAAGGCUGUGAUCGGUAGCUGGUCUGAGAGGAUGAUCAGCCACAUUGGGACUGAGACACGGCCCAAACUCCUACGGGAGGCAGCAGUAGGGAAUCUUGCGCAAUGGGGGAAACCCUGACGCAGCGACACCACAUGAGUGAUGAAGGCUCUAGGGUUGUAAAGCUCUGUUCUUGACGAACAAACAAAUGAUUAGUCAAGGAGAAAGGACCGGCUAACUUCGUGCCAGCAGCUGCGGUAAGACGAGGGGUCCAAGCGUUGUCCGGAAUUAUUGGGCGUAAAGCGGGUGUAGGCGGUUUUGCAAGUCAGAAGUGAAAGCCUCAGGCUCAACCUGAGAAGUGCUUUUGAUACUGCAUAACUUGAGUUUGGAAGAGGGCAUGGAAUCCUGGUGUAGGUGGUGAAAUGGCGGUAGAUUUCAGGAGGAUACAAGGCAAAGCGGUUGCUGGUCCAAUACUGACGCUGAGAUCCGAAAGCGUGGGGAGCAACCGGAUUGAUACCUGGUAGUCAAGGGGA